GAAAAUUGUUAUUUUUGAACCAGAAUAAAAUGUUAAAUUUUAAGCAUGUUCAAAGUUUUUGUGGAAACACAAAAUAAUGGUUAAAAUUUCAAUGAUGAUUAACAUUUUUCGUUCCGCGUCCACCAUUGUUUUUUUUCAUUCGGGUCAGGUAAUUUUCGUCAAAACAAUGCUUCGUUAUUCUCUUGCAAUUCACUAAUAAGAAAUGCGCCGUGAUCGUCGGAUUUUCAACUUAAAUGGUGCAGUGGAAAAAUGUGCCGAAUAUACCAACCGAUGGGAACAAGGAAGAUCCGGAUAUAGGAUCCCAGUUUAAAGAAGAAAAGCAGGAGAAAAGGUCAUUCCCCAUGGUCAUCUAGGCAUGCGAUUUCAUCUUCCGGAGUAAGUGGGACGAGCAAGAUCCGGAACUUGACCCUCGGCAAAUGGUGGAUUGAAAUUCAAUUUUUAUAUUUCCCGAAUCACGGUUUGACUGCAGUAGCUCAAGAAGUAUGUUUUAUUACGAGCAAUUAACCAGUAGCCCUCCAAAGGAACCGGAUUAGAAAUUAUUCCUGUCAAGUUGUAGGAUCCCCAGGCCGGGAGAGUACAGCAUCAUACGUGACCAUACCUCAAUCGAAGUUGUGAACCAUCGAUGGAAAAAUAAUUUUAUGUUAUAAAUGAAUGUUGUUGAAUCCAUGUUAAAAGAUGUAACUUGUUAGUUUAAUUCUAUAUCGUUUUAAUUAAAUAAAACAACAAUGACGAAUUA
This is a long non-coding RNA of Uranotaenia lowii, 736 nucleotides long. RefSeq lists it as uncharacterized. The record is from RefSeq and is a predicted model, not a curated record. The transcript is spliced from 2 exons. NCBI's taxonomy places the organism in Eukaryota, Metazoa, Arthropoda, Insecta, Diptera, Culicidae.